RNAcentral lists this ribosomal RNA (465 nucleotides) under uncultured bacterium. RNAcentral describes it as "bacterial SSU rRNA". It matches the Rfam family "Bacterial small subunit ribosomal RNA", at positions 338 to 795 of the family's 1533-position model. The record is from RNAcentral.
CCUACGGGGGGCUGCAGUAGGGAAUCUUCCGCAAUGGACGAAAGUCUGACGGAGCAACGCCGCGUGAGCGAAGAAGGUCUUCGGAUCGUAAAGCUCUGUUGUUAGGGAAGAACAAGUACGGGAGGAAAUGACCGUACCUUGACGGUACCUAACGAGGAAGCCACGGCUAACUACGUGCCAGCAGCCGCGGUAAUACGUAGGUGGCAAGCGUUAUCCGGAAUUAUUGAGAGUAAAGCGGGCGCAAGCGUUAUUUUAAGUAUGGGGCGAAAUCUUGCGGCUGAGCCUGAAUCGGUCAUUGGAAACUAGUAGACUUGAGUGAUGAAGAAGAAAGCGAAAUACAGCGAGUAGCGGUGUAAUGCGUCGAACUGUGGAGGAGCGCUAGUGGAGAAGGCGGCUUUCUGGUCUGUAACUGACGCUGACGCGCGAAAGCGUGGGGAGCAAACAGGAAGAGAUGCCCCAGUAGUC